This 716-nucleotide ribosomal RNA is filed under the name Eubacteriales Family XIII. Incertae Sedis bacterium. Its description in RNAcentral is "partial 16S ribosomal RNA". It matches the Rfam family "Bacterial small subunit ribosomal RNA", at positions 1 to 712 of the family's 1533-position model. The record is from RNAcentral. Lineage: Bacteria; Bacillati; Bacillota; Clostridia; Peptostreptococcales; Anaerovoracaceae.
GUUGAUGAGAGUUUGAUCCUGGCUCAGGAUGAACGCCGGCGGCGUGCCUAACACAUGCAAGUCGAGCGAGAAGCCCGGUGGCGGAGAUUUCGGUUGAAGCGACCGGGCGGAAAGCGGCGGACGGGUGAGUAACGCGUAGGCAACCUACCCGCGGGAGAGGGACAGCCUCGGGAAACCGGGAUUAACACCUCAUGAAGCGAGGGCUCCGCAUGGAGCUUUCGCCAAAGAUUUAUCGCCCGCGGAUGGACCUGCGUCUGAUUAUGCCUGUUGGUGGGGUAACGGCCCACCAAAGCUUCGAUCAGUAACCGACCUGAGAGGGUAAUCGGUCACAUUGGAACUGAGACACGGUCCAAACUCCUACGGGAGGCAGCAGUGGGGAAUAUUGCACAAUGGGCGGAAGCCUGAUGCAGCAACGCCGCGUGAGCGAUGACGGUCCUAUGGAUUGUAAAGCUCUGAUCUGAGGGAAGAAACAAAUGACGGUACCUCAGGAGAAAGCCCCGGCUAACUACGUGCCAGCAGCCGCGGUAAUACGUAGGGGGCAAGCGUUAUCCGGAUUUAUUGGGCGUAAAGGGUGCGUAGGUGGCCAUCUAAGCGCGGGGUGAAAGGCAACGGCUCAACCGUUGUGAGCCCUGCGAACUGGUUGGCUUGAGUGCAGGAGGGGAAAGCGGAACUCCCAGUGUAGCGGUGAAAUGCGUAGAUAUUGGGAAGAACACCGG